This 226-nucleotide ribosomal RNA is filed under the name uncultured bacterium. RNAcentral describes it as "partial 16S ribosomal RNA". It matches the Rfam family "Bacterial small subunit ribosomal RNA", at positions 538 to 763 of the family's 1533-position model. The record is from RNAcentral.
GCGUUGUCCGGAAUUAUUGGGCGUAAAGCGCGUGUAGGCGGUUCAAUAAGUCUGCUGUGAAAGCCGAGGGCUCAACCCUCGGAUGCCGGUGGAUACUGUUGGACUAGAGUACGGAAGAGGCGAGUGGAAUUCCUGGUGUAGCGGUGAAAUGCGCAGAUAUCAGGAGGAACACCAAUUGCGAAGGCAGCUCGCUGGGACGAUACUGACGCUGAGACGCGAAAGCGUG